Molecule: ribosomal RNA, 385 nt
Filed under: uncultured bacterium
Lineage: Bacteria
Description: bacterial SSU rRNA
Rfam family: Bacterial small subunit ribosomal RNA
Source: RNAcentral
AUUGAACGCUGGCGGCAUGCCUUACACAUGCAAGUCGAACGGCAGCGGACCUUCGGGUGCCGGCGAGUGGCGAACGGGUGAGUAAUAUAUCGGAACGUACCUUUCAGUGGGGGAUAACGUAGCGAAAGUUACGCUAAUACCGCAUAUUCUGUGAGCAGGAAAGCAGGGGAUCGCAAGACCUUGCGCUGAUUGAGCGGCCGAUAUCAGAUUAGCUAGUUGGUGAGGUAAAGGCUCACCAAGGCGACGAUCUGUAGCGGGUCUGAGAGGAUGAUCCGCCACACUGGAACUGAGACACGGUCCAGACUCCUACGGGAGGCAGCAGUUGGGGAAUUUUGGACAAUGGCGCAAGCCUGAUCCAGCCAUGCCGCGUGAGUGAAGAAGGCCU